CGGUGGUCUUGGACGGUGCUCUCUGCUCCAACAAUCAAAUAGACAUCAAACCUGCAGUUUCAGGAUUGACGGGGGGAAAUUGUAAGCUACAAUUCAAUGGCAUUAUGACUCCUAUCAAAAAAAUUGGAUGUAUAAUUCUACCACUACCGCUUCCGGCGGCCGCCUCUUACACUUAUCACUAUUACCACAAAUACCACCAGCAUCACAACUCCCAUCAGCAACAUCUAUAGAUGCUCAAAGAAGAUUAGGUUGA
Long non-coding RNA from Papaver somniferum (opium poppy), 253 nucleotides. RefSeq lists it as uncharacterized. The transcript has 3 exons. NCBI's taxonomy places the organism in Eukaryota, Viridiplantae, Streptophyta, Magnoliopsida, Ranunculales, Papaveraceae. The record is from RefSeq and is a predicted model, not a curated record.